Molecule: ribosomal RNA, 507 nt
Filed under: uncultured bacterium
Lineage: Bacteria
Description: bacterial SSU rRNA
Rfam family: Bacterial small subunit ribosomal RNA
Source: RNAcentral
GACGAACGCUGGCGGCGUGGAUUAGGCAUGCAAGUCGAACGGUAUCAUCCUUUCGGGGGUGAGAGAGUGGCGAACUGGUGAGUAACACGUAGGUUAUCUACCCUCAAGACGGGGACAACCCAGGGAAACUUGGGCUAAUACCGGAUGUGAGCAACUUUUAGUUGUUUGAAAGGUGGCGUAAGCUGUCGCUUGGGGAUGAGCCUGCGUCCUAUUAGUUAGUUGGUGAGGUAACGGCUCACCUAGGCAAUGAUAGGUAGGCGGCCUUAACGGGUGGUCGCCCACACUGGGAUUGAGAUACGGCCCAGACUCCUACGGGAGGCAGCAGUCGAGAAUAGUCUACAAUGGUCGGAAGACUGAUAGUGCGACGCCGCGUGAACGAUGAAUCCCUUCGGGGUGUAAAGUUCUUUUAUAUGUGAGCAGUGCUUCUUAUAUUAACAGUAUGGGGAGAGAGAUAUUAGCAUAUGAAUAAGCAACGGCUAACUCCGUGCCAGCAGCCGCGGUAAACCU